This is a long non-coding RNA of Nematostella vectensis (starlet sea anemone), 1701 nucleotides long. RefSeq lists it as uncharacterized. The transcript has 2 exons. Lineage: Eukaryota; Metazoa; Cnidaria; Anthozoa; Actiniaria; Edwardsiidae. The record is from RefSeq and is a predicted model, not a curated record.
UCUAAGAUCACCCGUUUUCUUAGACACCAAGAAAAUCGAAGACAAGAAUUCAUCCUCACGGUGGUUCACCUGGACAACAUCUCUGUUUUUCAAAAGCUUUACGACUUCUGCAUUAAUUAGCAUAAUUUCUGAUUCCGGAAAAUUGGAUCGUCCAGGAAUAAAUUCUUGCCAAGGAGUUCGCUCAAACUCCAGGUGGUAUCCUUGUAUAGUUUCAAGAACCCACUUGUCAAAAGUGAUUUUAGACCACUCAUCAACCCUGUUAGCCACAUAUACCAACAGGGGAAAUACUAUGUGGAGUUGAACUCACAUUGUUUACUUGUUGUCGCGGUUGAUUGCCGCUUUUGACCCUUGGUAUCUCUUCUUGUAUGGUCUCGACAAGUCUUGGUUCUUUUUUCCAUGCGUCUUUCCCCACGCAGAAUUGGGCUUCUGGCGCGGUAAAAAAGACGAAUUCCUCUGCCUGUUGUUGUUGUUGUUGUUGUUAUUGUUGUUGUUACGGUAACCACCUCGCGAUCGGCGGCGCUGAGAAACAGACGAGCUGGCCGAUAUUUUUGUAGCAACUUUGUUCGCCUUUGAUGUCUCAUCGACAAAGUCGUCGCCAAACAACUGAGUAGUUACUGGCGUUGAAGCCGAACAUAGCGAUUGAGAAUUCUUGCUAAGCUCAGGCUUUAGCAGGUCUCUCCUCUUAAGAGAAGUGAGAUAACCCGCAUGGCCUACAAAUGUGAUCUGACAUCAGCAUCUGACAGAGGGCCAAUAAAAGAUCCGGGCUUCUCGCUUUGGCAGUUCGUUCCACAGAGUAGAAUUAACUCUAGGAACAUACAACAUCUCGCAGUUGACAGGAGAUUUUAAAUUGUCCAUUUUUCGAGCGGCAUAGACGUGAACGACUCAUUCACGCGACUAGCAAGAGUCUUCGCCACUUCCGGAUUCACUUUCGUCGAAAAUCGACGGAGGUCGCAAGAAAGGGGAGAACACUAGUAAGCUAGGGAUAGGACUCGCAAUAUUGAUAAUUUUACAAGAAUAACAGAUAUCUCGAUUCGUGUGAUUCGAAAGCUGACGCGUUUUUCCGAUAUAUAAGAACCCCCACACUAAACAGCCUCCUUAUGUUGGUUUCCAAAAAAAACUAUUUCAGCUAUUUAUUUUAUUUGGUCUUGAUUUUUCAGAAAUAUUUUGAUUGAUUCCCAUUAUUUUUUCUCAAAAAAUAAUCUAAAUAAAAGGAAAGUGAUUGUAACGUUUUAAGGAAGAAAGCAUGUUUAGAAACGUUCAUGAAAGUUUACAAGCUCAUCUUUAUGGACACUUUGGUGAGAUUUUACUGAAAUUUUGACAGCGAGAAGUUCGUACCACCUACCGUCAUUCAGAUCCAGAGCGGAUGGAGCGUUGCGCUGACAAAUGCACACAACAAGAAUUAAAGAAACAAUUAUCCUGUUGCUACAAGACAUAAUGCAAUCUUUGUGUGCCAAAUACGUCACAGGACUUUCUUGUUGCAGUUGCAAGCAUAGAAGGUUCUGAUGUAACCACGUUAUUCGCGUCAGGAUAACACAAGGCUACUGGUCAUCGAUUAUUAUUAUUAUUGGUACAAUGAUGUAAGCCCCAUCGACACCGGGCCAAGUGGCCAUAGUUUUGAAGAGUGUCGAUCAAUCACUCCUUUUUGUUUGUUUCAAAAUUAAUUAAUUUAUUUAUUAAGUAAUUAAAAGCUUUUUUUGGCAA